Long non-coding RNA from Eucalyptus grandis, 1261 nucleotides. RefSeq lists it as uncharacterized. The record is from RefSeq and is a predicted model, not a curated record. The transcript is spliced from 3 exons. NCBI's taxonomy places the organism in Eukaryota, Viridiplantae, Streptophyta, Magnoliopsida, Myrtales, Myrtaceae.
UCUUCCUCCCAACCGUGCGACUCCUCUAUCUCCAUCUUCUUCAUCUCCUUCUUCUUUGAAAAAAACCCAGCAACCAGCAAGCUGGAGAAGCCGCAUGCCUCCGCCGUUCACCGCCGCCGCGCACCGUCGCCGUUUCGCUUUGGCCGUCGCCCUCCGUCUUCCCCUUCCUCUCCCGUUGCGAUCUCUCUUCUCCAUCUCCCUUGAAUGCUUCGAGACCCAGCAGCAACCAGAGAAGUUCCGUCCGAAGCUGCACGCCAGCCGGAGGUCUCGCCGUUCGCCCAUCGCCGCCGUCGCGCGCGUUUGCCUCGCGCUCGCCCGCGCCUGGCCGCGCGCCGCUCCGCCCACUUCGCCCAGCUCGUCGUCCCGAGCUACUGUUCAGCUCGCGCAAGAGCUGCCGGAGCUCGUUCGUCGCCGCCAGCCACCGCCGUAGCUCCUCCACCCUUUCCGACCCGAACCGGCGCCGGAUCUACCCUUCCUCGGCCUCAAACCGCCAUGGACAGCAGUUGAAAAAAAAUGGGUAUGCAGCGGACGUUUGGCCCAUUUUGGCCGCCUUCCCGAGCCCGGAUGCUCGGCCCGCUUUGAGGAAAGUUGUUCUCCUCAGCGUCCCCGUCGUUUUGGUCCGCUCGGCUUGCUAAUCCGGUCCCUGAUGGACGGAGUGGCCAGAUAGCUUUGGUUGGCCUUGAGGAAUUGCAGAGGUGAAGGCAUAAGAUUGGAGAAUGUGUCCGACUUGUAGGUCGUAGGACAAUUCCUUUUUAAGAGCCGGUCUUUUGUUGACUUUUGGCUAUAGGCAUUCGUUUGUAAUUUCGUUGGUUUAUGUAAGUGAUUGGUAGUGAAAUUGUUUCCUACUUUUCUAUCCCGUAUUUUAUUGUCAGGGGUUUUAUAAUACGUUCGCUUGCGCAUUAAUAAAUCAAUGGGGUCGGCGACACUACCUGGGAAUGUCGCAUUUGAAUGACCAUGGUGGGAUGUUGACGCGCUCGGGGUUCGGGGCGUGACAAGCAACACCGGAAUUCUGGGUUUACCUGGAUUCUCCUAGUAGGCGGGCAUGGGAUGGAGCGACACAUUUCAUUUGAUGUGUUGGACUUAAAAAGGGUGCGAAGCAAGUUGUGCAGCGGAUGCAGGUUGUUGUAGAGCAGGUCUAGAGAUAUGAUUAAAAAGGCUUCUUGAGUAAGAGAUCAACAUGGAGAAUGUAAGUCCCCAUCUGACUUCUUACAUAAUGUGGACGUUUUCACAGGUUUACAAGGAAAUUACGUGUUCCUAGAAU